UCUGAUGUCCCUGGAAGCUGAGCAACAUCGGAAUGAAUUUUAAAAGUUCAGUUUAUGGACCACUCAUGGCCAGAGAACCCAAACUAAACCUGCAGAAAAGUUCAGCCCUGGACCUGGCCAGAAGUCUAUUUAUCAAGCAAGGGUUUACUGAGCAUCUACCAAAUGGACAACACGCGUGCAGCCCUGGAAAUGUGAGUGAAGAGACUUAGUCCACAAGAUGGAGACAAGUCACAGGAUACGUCCUAGUUGUGCCCACCAUGAAGCUGAUUCCUUCCCAACCAAAACAGGCAGACACCUCUGAAUCUCUGAGGUGGGCAAGCAUAAAAUUCACUGUUUUCAGAUCACUGACUACUUGGAAGAGGAAACUAACCAUAAAGCAAUUAUACACCAAUAAAAAAAUUUUGAUAGGAAAAAACAGACAAACCACUUCUUUUGAAAUUUCUCAUCAUUCAAGAAGGUAUAGGAAAAUUAUUUUAAUCACUGGGCAUACGGGGUUAAAAAUGCUGAAUACUACUGUUUCCAAAGCACCUUUUAUAAAUUCAUUCAGGUAACUUGACAAUGAGAAGGCAGCGACAGAGGAUGAAA
Molecule: non-coding RNA, 585 nt
Organism: Odocoileus virginianus texanus
Lineage: Eukaryota; Metazoa; Chordata; Mammalia; Artiodactyla; Cervidae
Source: RefSeq, a predicted model, not a curated record